RNAcentral lists this ribosomal RNA (424 nucleotides) under uncultured bacterium. Its description in RNAcentral is "bacterial SSU rRNA". It matches the Rfam family "Bacterial small subunit ribosomal RNA", at positions 356 to 773 of the family's 1533-position model. The record is from RNAcentral.
GGGGAAUCUUGCGCAAUGGGCGAAAGCCUGACGCAGCGACGCCGCGUGAGGGAAGAAGGCCUUCGGGUUGUAAACCUCUUUCAGGAGGGACGAAGCCACUCGGGUUAAUAGCCCAGAGGGUGACGGUACCUCCAGAAGAAGCCCCGGCUAACUUCGUGCCAGCAGCCGCGGUAAUACGAAGGGUGCAAACGUUGCUCGGAAUUAUUGGGCGUAAAGCGCACGUAGGCGGCUUUUCAAGUCCCAUGUGAAAGCCCACGGCUUAACCGUGGAAGUGCAUGGGAAACUGGAGAGCUUGAGUACUUAAGAGGAUCGCGGAAUUCCCGGUGUAGAGGUGAAAUUCGUAGAUAUCGGGAGGAACACCAGUGGCGAAGGCGGCGAUCUGGGAAGAUACUGACGCUGAGGUGCGAAAGCGUGGGGAGCAAAC